UGAUUCAAAUAUGUUGUGAUCUCCUUCCUUGUUUAGAUUCUGCCAAGAAUUUAAUUUUUGAAUUCAAAUCUUUUCUUGCCACAUGUCCAUUCAUGAUGGAUAGGCUAAUUUCAUGCCAUGUCAAUGUCUAUUAUUUUUCAUUUACAGAAAUCUACGUAAACACAUAUAUAGCCACAGUUCAUAUAGAGUUUGGCAUGGCCAGCUACCAUGGCUCGGCUAAGCAACAAGAAGAUCUAAGGGGCCCACC
RNAcentral lists this long non-coding RNA (247 nucleotides) under Elaeis guineensis (African oil palm). Its description in RNAcentral is "long non-coding RNA (EGUI_LNC025769)". The record is from RNAcentral. Lineage: Eukaryota; Viridiplantae; Streptophyta; Magnoliopsida; Arecales; Arecaceae.